UACGUAGGGGGCAAGCGUUGUCCGGAAUCAUUGGGCGUAAAGAGCGUGUAGGCGGCCCGAUAAGUCCGCUGUGAAAGUCCAGGGCUCAACCCUGGGAUGCCGGUGGAUACUGGCGGGCUCGAGUCCGGAAGAGGAGUGUGGAAUUCCUGGUGUAGCGGUGAAAUGCGCAGAUAUCAGGAGGAACACCAAUGGCGAAGGCAGCACUCUGGGACGUGACUGACGCUGAGACGCGAAAGCGUGGGGAGCAAACAGG
This 253-nucleotide ribosomal RNA is filed under the name uncultured bacterium. Its description in RNAcentral is "partial 16S ribosomal RNA". It matches the Rfam family "Bacterial small subunit ribosomal RNA", at positions 524 to 776 of the family's 1533-position model. The record is from RNAcentral.